RNAcentral lists this ribosomal RNA (190 nucleotides) under uncultured rumen bacterium. Its description in RNAcentral is "partial 16S ribosomal RNA". It matches the Rfam family "Bacterial small subunit ribosomal RNA", at positions 338 to 525 of the family's 1533-position model. The record is from RNAcentral.
CCUACGGGAGGCAGCAGUGAGGAAUAUUGGUCAAUGGGCGCGAGCCUGAACCAGCCAAGUAGCGUGCAGGAUGACGGCCCUAUGGGUUGUAAACUGCUUUUAUGCGGGGAUAAAGUGCACCACGUGUGGUGUUUUGUAGGUACCGCAUGAAUAAGCACCGGCUAAAUACGUGCCAGCAGCCGCGGUAAUA